This is an RNA transcript of Vespula pensylvanica (western yellowjacket), 8032 nucleotides long. It is a transcript of the gene named exportin-1, with no coding region annotated. The transcript is spliced from 15 exons. Lineage: Eukaryota; Metazoa; Arthropoda; Insecta; Hymenoptera; Vespidae. The record is from RefSeq and is a predicted model, not a curated record.
UUUAAGGUUUCGCGUGGACGAUCGGAUACCUUCAACGAUGAAUGCCACCUUUCCUCGUUGAUGAACAUCGCAAAUGUAGCAAAAACGGAUGAGGAAUGAGCGAGAGAGAGAGAGCGAGAGAAAGAGAGAGCGAGAGAGAGAGAAAGACGUGCGAACGAACGAAGCGAGAGAGUAUAGUGCGAGAGAAAGAGCGCGAGAGGGGAGGGGUGUUCGGAGGUAGGGGGUGCUGUGUGGGACAGAGAAGAGAUGAUAAAAAGGCGGUGAGGAACGGCGAGUGUGUGAAACGAAGAACAAAAUUGUUCGCGCGCGGGAAUCAGCAGCGGUGUGUUUAAUCCUUUUGUGCUUGUGAUUUGCACGAAAAGGUCGUGAUUACCAGUGCGGAACGUGUGUUUUAUACCGCCGAAUUGAGAAUCUGCGUAUGAGAGUCAUUGAUAUAAAGUGUAUGAAAGGAAGAAAAUUUGUAGUACGGAAUGGCAACUUUGGCAGAGCAAGCAUCCAAGUUAUUGGACUUUAACCAGAAGUUAGAUAUAACGCUUCUUGAUAAUAUAGUGGGAUGUAUGUACACUGGAAUAGGGGAGCAACAAAGGGUUGCCCAGGAGGUAUUAACUACCCUUAAGGAACAUCCAAACGCGUGGACUCGCGUAGAUACCAUUCUAGAGUAUUCUCAGAAUCAGCAAACAAAAUAUUAUGCCUUACAAAUCUUGGAGCAAGUUAUUAAGACACGGUGGAAAGUACUACCUAGAAAUCAAUGUGAGGGUAUAAAGAAAUAUAUUGUAGGCCUCAUUAUAAAAACGAGUAGUGAUCCAGAAACAAUGGAUACUUCUAAAGUUUACCUCAACAAAUUGAAUAUGAUCUUAGUGCAGGUAUUGAAACGAGAAUGGCCAAAGAAUUGGGAAUCUUUCAUUAGUGACAUUGUUGGAGCAAGUAAAACAAAUGAAAGCCUUUGUCAAAAUAACAUGGCAAUUCUCAAACUUCUCUCAGAAGAAGUAUUUGACUUUUCUAGUGGUCAAAUGACACAAACAAAAGCUAAACAUUUGAAGGAUACAAUGUGUAGUGAAUUUUCACAAAUUUUUCAACUUUGUCAGUUUGUCAUGGAUAAUUCACAGAAUGUACCAUUAGUAGCAGUUACUUUGGAAACGUUAUUAAGGUUUUUGAAUUGGAUACCACUUGGAUAUAUUUUUGAAACUAAACUGAUAACUACUCUAAUAUUUAAGUUUCUAAAUGUACCAAUAUUUAGAAAUAUUACACUUAACUGUCUCACAGAAAUUGCUGCUGUUACAGUAACGAGUUAUGACGACAUGUUUGUUGCAUUAUUCAUAAAUACGAUGCAACAAUUAGAACAAAUGCUUCCACUCGAAACAAAUAUAAGAGAAGCAUAUGCAGUUGGACAAAAUCAAGAACAAAAUUUUAUACAAAAUUUGGCAAUGUUUCUUUGCACUUUUUUAAAAGAGCAUGGUCAAUUAAUAGAAAAGAAGCAAUUAAAUGAAACAUUAUUGAAAGCCUUGCAUUAUCUUGUGUUAAUCUCAGAGGUUGAAGAAGUUGAAAUAUUCAAAAUUUGUUUAGAGUACUGGAAUGGUUUAUUAGCUGAUUUAUAUAAAGAUCAUCCGUUUGUGGCACCUUCACCUUUGUUUAUGUCGAAGAGUAUGACAAUCUCACACAGAAGAGUCUUCUACUGUCCAGUUUUGACUAAAGUCAGAUAUAUAAUGAUUAGUAGAAUGGCUAAACCUGAAGAAGUUUUGGUGGUUGAAAAUGAACAUGGAGAAGUUGUACGAGAAUUUAUGAAGGAUACUGAUUCUAUUAAUUUGUAUAAAAAUAUGAGAGAAACUCUUGUAUAUCUUACUCAUUUGGACUAUGUGGAUACUGAACGUGUUAUGACAGAAAAACUUCAGAAUCAAGUUAAUGGUUCGGAAUGGUCUUGGAAGAAUCUCAACACGCUAUGCUGGGCAAUAGGUAGUAUUUCUGGUGCAAUGCAUGAAGAAGAUGAAAAAAGAUUUUUAGUAACUGUAAUUAAAGAUUUACUUGGAUUAUGUGAACAAAAAAAGGGUAAAGAUAACAAAGCUAUAAUUGCCAGUAAUAUCAUGUACGUUGUUGGACAAUAUCCAAGAUUUCUUAGAGCUCAUUGGAAAUUUUUGAAAACUGUUGUGAAUAAACUCUUUGAAUUUAUGCACGAGACCCACGAUGGAGUACAGGAUAUGGCCUGUGAUACAUUCAUUAAGAUAGCUUUAAAAUGCAGGCGACAUUUUGUUACAACACAGGUUGGUGAAGCAUUGCCAUUUAUUGAAGAAAUUCUUUCAACAAUUAGUAGCAUCAUUUGUGAUCUUCAGACACAGCAGGUACAUACAUUUUAUGAAGCUGUUGGUUAUAUGAUAAGUGCUCAGACAGAUACAUUAGUUCAGGAACAACUAAUAGAAAAAUAUAUGCAUUUGCCCAACCAAGUUUGGGAUGAUAUUAUAUGCCAGGCUUCAAAAAAUGUUGAUGUGUUGAAAGAUUCUGAAGCAGUUAAGCAACUUGCUAGUAUUUUGAAGACAAAUGUUAGAGCUUGUAAAGCUCUAGGACAUCCAUAUGUGAUACAAUUAGGAAGAAUAUAUCUGGAUAUGUUGAAUGUUUAUAAGGUUAUGAGUGAGAAUAUAAGUGCUGCAAUAGCUUUGAAUGGAGAGACAGUGAUGAAACAACCUUUAAUCAAGAGUAUGAGAGUAGUAAAAAAAGAAACAUUGAAACUAAUUUCAGAUUGGGUUAGCAAAUCUAUUGAUCCACAAAUGGUAUUAGAAAAUUUUAUACCACCGUUACUGGAUGCAGUAUUACUGGAUUAUCAAAAGACAAAUGUUCAUUGUGCUAGAGAACCAGAGGUACUUAGUGCUAUGGCUACUAUAGUAAAUAAAUUGGAAGCUCAUAUCACUAGUGAGGUACCUAAAAUAUUUGAUGCCGUGUUUGAAUGCACUUUAGAGAUGAUUAAUAAAGACUUUGAAGAAUUUCCCGAACACAGAACAAAUUUCUUCCUCUUACUACAGGCAGUGAAUAAUCAUUGCUUCCCUGCAUUUUUAUCGAUUCCACCAGCACAGUUCAAACUAGUGCUUGAUUCUAUUAUUUGGGCUUUUAAGCAUACAAUGAGGAAUGUAGCAGAUACAGGAUUGCAGAUCUUGUUUCAGCUUUUACGAAAUAUCGAGCAGCAUGAACAAGCUGCACAAAGCUUUUAUCAGACAUAUUUUACGGAUAUUCUUCAACAUGUAUUUAGUGUAGUAACAGAUACAUCGCAUACCGCAGGCCUUACAAUGCACGCUACUAUUUUGGCAUACAUGUUUACAUUAGUUGAGUUGGGAAGAAUACAGGUACCACUUGGACCUGUGCCUGAUAAUACAUUGUACGUUCAAGAAUUUGUAGCGAGGUUACUCAGGACUGCUUUUCAACAUUUGACUGAUAAUCAGAUUAAAAUAACAGUGCAAGGUUUGUUUAAUCUUGAUCAAGACAUCCCAGCAUUCAAAGAGCAUUUGAGAGAUUUUCUUGUACAGAUAAGAGAAUACACUGGCGAAGAUGAUUCUGAUCUUUAUUUGGAAGAAAGAGAAACAGCUUUACGAUUGGCUCAGGAAGAAAAAAGGCGACAGCAAAUGGCAGUACCGGGUAUUCUGAAUCCACAUGAAAUGCCAGAAGAGAUGCAGGACUGAAUAAACUGUAAUCCUUGCCUGAUAUUUGUGCAAGACCAAACGACAAACACUCUGCUGUAGAAACUAUUAUAUCUGCAACUACUCUCACAACUACCACCACCACCACUACUACCACUAGUACAGCCACCAUCAAAGAUUUUAAAAGAAAAGGAGUUUCUGUUGUGGAAAAAGUGUGAAUGCCUGCUUAGCGAUGCUAUUUCAUGUAUAAGAAGAGGGUACUUCUCAGAAUAAAUUAUUGACUGAUGUUUGUGUAAGAGAUGACGUUCAUCAACUGCCGAUAAUUAGUGGAUAGAAAGAACAUGGCAGAAUUUUGUAAUGGGAAGUUUGUUGCUAAGAGUGACAGAGUAAACAUUUUUUGUAUUAAUGCAACAGCACCGUACAUGUGACAACAAUGCAUUUAAUAGUGCUAUGUGAUAGUUGCAUCAUCUGGCUCAAUGAACACAGUAUACUAUACGACACUCUUACUUUUACAUAGGAGAAUUGUGAUGUACUGUGCUUUGCGAAAUCGUACUCUUUCUACAUUUUUGGUCGUAUGAGUCUGUUCUAAAAUAGAGAUUGAUAUGUAUGCGGAGUCAUGUGCGAUAAAUUCUGCUUAUACAUUGUCAAAUGAUUUUGUUACAAUAUAGACUCUACACACAGAGAAUUCUUUUUGAUUCAUUAUUAACUUAUGAUCGCGAAAGAAUUAAAAUUACAUCCUUUUAAUUUUAUAACUCAUAAAAUCUUGUCCUAAAAAUAUGAACUCUUUUUUUUUUUAAUUUCAAAUAUUAAUUGAUAAAUAUGAGCUUCUCCAUCACCUGCAGAAACUACGACUUAUAUUUUGCUGAGUUGCUCUCUUAUCCAUUUGCUACUGACUCUAGUAUCUAGUAGAGUAAAACAUUGUCUUUAAUUUUUUCCCUGUAUUUUUUUUAUUAUUUCUUUUUUAUAAAGGCAGCUAAUGUCUAUUGAUUUAUAUGUGCAUAUUCUCUAAAGGAUAUUAGAUUUUAGGUAUGAUACAUAAUUUGAUAAAUACAUAAAGAAGUACAAUUGACAUACACAAAAAAGAAAGAAGUAUAUAACUACCCCAAGAUAUUUACAUGUGAUAUACUAUUUCACGUACAUAUAGUAAACACUCGGCCAUCAGAAAAUAACAAAAAAUGCACAGAGCUAUGAUAUCUGCAUGACUUGAUGCAUUUAGGACAAGUACAAGCAAACUUUAAGUACAAUAAAGGAUAAAAAAUGAUUUUGCAUUAAAUAGUAUCGUCGUAGCAGGCUUUUGAGGUAACAUAAAUGUCCUAGAUGAAUGUGUGUUUUUAUCUGCGUGCAGUUGAACUAUAAUGCUAUUAUAGUGCAACAUAGUAAAGUGACGUUGUACUGUAAUAUUAUAAUACUAUUAUGCUGUAUAUAUGAUCCACUGCGGGCCGUGAAGUGGCAUCUUGUAAAUGAAAAUUAAUCACGAAAAUAUUAGCAUUUGUUUAUGCUCACUCUUGCUCAAUUCAUUGUAUAUUUAAAUACUUAAAAAUCGAUGAUUUUAAAGAUAUCCAAGUAAAGCUGUUCCACUUAUUAUUACGUUCCACUUAAUAUUAUAAGUUACAAAAUGGCAACCAUUUUUAAACUAUCGAAGGGUAAUAUUAGCUGGAAGGUGAAGUUUAUAAAGUGUACAAUAUAUGAAUCAAAAUUGAUGAAAUAUUUCUUUAAUAAUUAAUAUGCAACAUAUAAUAUGUAUCUUACUAAAUUACAUUUGUUAAGUUCAUUUAAUAUCGGGGCCAUUAAACAAUAAGUAUUCAAUCUGAUUCAGUUAGUUUCAAUAAUAAGUAGUACUGUACCUAAUAUUCAAUCUUAAUUAAAAUAUGAAUUCUUUAUUCUUUUUUUAUGUUAAGGGAACGUUUAUAGGUAUUUGAAUGCUCGUGACAGACAAAAGUUUUUCUUAAAAGAGAGAGAGAGAGAGAGAGAGAAAGAGCGCGCGCGAGAGAGAGAGAGAGAGAGAGAGAGAGAGAGAGAGAGAGAGAGAAAAGUGGGGUUUUAGAGAGUACAUAUAACAAGCAUUAAUUAGAUUUCCAAAGUAAAUAUAAAUGCAUCAAUUAUCAUUUUCAUUGUGUAAAAUUUAAAUAACAAGAAAGUAUAAAUAUUUUCUAUAAGUACUACACUCUUUUAUAAUGUGAUGUAGGAUUGUAUGAAGUCGGCACUUUUGAUGAAUGUUUCAACGUUCUUAUGCUUUUUAUAUGAUCUAGCACCUUCUAUGUGAUUCUGGUGUGACUGCAUAAUAUUUCAAUGUCUUACAUAAAUUCAGAUGUUAUGUAAAUGAUCUAUUGUAGUUCUAACUUAUCAAUGCUGUAAAUUACAUUAUAUGUCUUGAUUUAGAUACGUUUAAUAGUUCCAAGAUAUACAUGCUUGGUAUUGUCAUAUAAAAUGUGUUGGUGUAUCACUUCAAAUGUUAGCUAAAUGUUAUUUUUUCAUUAAUAAUUGCGAUUAAAAAUAGUUUACUAAAAUAUUCAUAACUUUAAAAAAGAAUAUAUUCUGAUUCUAUACAAUUAUUUCAUUUUAUUAAUUUUAUUUAUUAAUAAAUAAAUUCAAUAUAAUAUAAAUAUCAAGUAAUAACUUGUUUUGAUAGGUAUUUAGUAGGUUUAAAUUUUUUAUUUAAAUGGAUUUAGAAUACAGCAAAUUAAAAAUUAUAUAAAAAUAUAAAUCAAUAUUUAUAAAAGAUAUAAUCUUUUACUGAAAUCAUUACAAUGUGAUAAAUUUCUAUCCUAUAGAAAUCGUAGAUUCUAAAUAAUUAUAUAGAAUUUAUAGAGAAAAAGUUGUAUUUUGUUAUCAUUUAAAGUGAUACAUUUCAUGCAAAUUAAUUUUCAAUUCAUUACAGCACACAAGUAUCAAUAGAUUUACAAAUUAGUUUUUCACUAAACACACAGAAAUGUAACAGAGAUAGAUAUGCAGUUUCUUCCAUUUUCUAGAAUAAAAUAUCCAUUUGCAACUUUAUAAUAUCAUUUCAUUUUAUAUUAAAAUACUUAAUAAAUCUAAAAAGGACCUUUUUAUGUCUUUAGUUUUCAAAAAAAAAUAUUUAUUACUAAUAUUGUGUUCUUUUCUGUGGUGGAUGGAAUUGGACUAUAAUAAUUAAAUAAAAUAUAUAAUUAUGAUUUUCAUUUAAACAGAUUACCAUUGACAAUUAGUAUUAUAAAAAUGGAUCGGAAAGAAUCCCUGGGUAGAAUUUUCAUUCUAUCACAUUUGAUAAUGUUUACGGUGUUAAGCUGCUGAUGAUUAUACCAGAAUAGAUCAUCAAACUGGCGUUGAUCUAGCUGUAUUGUACCAUUACUUUUUAUAAGUUGUAUUUAUUUGCAAUUAACUAAAACCAAAUUGUACAAUUUUUCAAAAUAUUUGUUCUUUAUGCUAUCUGUACUUGUAAAAGUAGAGUUUAUAAAGAUAUAUAUUAUGUAAUAUUACAUAAAUGAAAAACAAUAAUUCAUUUUCAUUAAAAGAAUUUUUUAAAUGUUCGAAUUUACACGUAUAUUAUAAUUGGUGUUUUGUUAAUGUAUAUUUCUUAGUGAUAUUCACUAUUUCUUAAAAUGUUAAUUGUGAUGCAUGAAUUUGAGAAAACUGAUUAUAUAGUUUAUACAAUUUGGUAAAGUUAGAUGUAAAUAAGUAUACAGCAGAUCAAACAAUACAGUUGCAUCGAUGACAAUACAUCAUCACUUUAUAAAGUAUAGAAGUUUUUAGUUUAAGUAUCAAUGACAAAUGUGUAAUGAAGUUAAGGGACAUGGAAUGAUUUUUCUUUGAUGGUAAUUCUCUCUAUAUGUUAUCGAAUACGACUUUGCAAAUAUGAAAACGUUGAAACAGCCUAAGAUGUAAGCAUAAAGGAGUACAAUACUGUAUGCUCUUUUGUUAUUCAUAAACUCGCAUUUCAAUAGUGUACACAUUGUAAAAAUGUGUCUUGAAUCCCCUUGAGCUGUAUAAUAAGUACAUAGACUACUUCCUUUAGUGGAUAUGCUAUUUCAAAUGUUUCAGCUUAUUUUUAGAUUAUUGCUCAAAAUAUAAGAUAUACAUUUUUUGUGUACUAGUAUUUUUAAUAUAAAUAUCCAUUUGAUUUAUAUUCAUAUUCAUUCUAAAAAGAAGCUGGUUUCAGAAACUUUGCCCUCCAUGUAAGUUUACUUAGCUUGGGGAUGCAUUAGUAAAUAGAUUUUGUAAUAUGUUGAGUUAGCAUUAUUCUAUAAAAUGUCGAGGGUCGUACGUACGAAUAGUCAUGAGAAGCGAGUACAUAAUUAUCGAGUGGUAUAUACUGCGUGUGUUGAGAACGAAUGAAUGUAUUAAGUUAAGAAUUCUAUCAGUUAUUCAUGAUAACGAUAAACUAUGUAAAGAGUUUAAUAAUACUUACUAAUAAAAUAAAAAAUACUAUUAUAAAUACA